AUUGAACGCUGGCGGCAGGCCUAACACAUGCAAGUCGAGCGGAUGAAGGGAGCUUGCUCCUGGAUUCAGCGGCGGACGGGCGAGUAAUGCAUAGGAAUAUGCCUGGCAGUGGGGGAUAACGUCAGGUCACGGGCGCUAAUACAGCAUACGUCAUGAGGGUGAAAGUGGGGGAUCUUCGGACAUCAAGCUAUCAGAUGAGACUAGGUCGGAUUAGCUAGUUGGUGGGGUAAAGGCCUACCAAGGCGACGAUCCGUAGCUGAUCUGAGAGGAUGAUCAGUCACACUGGAACUGAGACACGGUCCAGACUCCUACGGGAGGCAGCAGUGGGGAAUAUUGGACAAUGGGCGAAAGCCUGAUCCAGCCAUGCCGCGUGUGUGAAGAAGGUCUUCGGAUUGUAAAGCACUUUAAGUUGGGAAGAAGAGCAGUAAGUUAAUACCUUGCUGUUUUGACGUUACCAACAGAAUAAGCACCGGCUAACUUCGUG
RNAcentral lists this ribosomal RNA (484 nucleotides) under uncultured bacterium. Its description in RNAcentral is "partial 16S ribosomal RNA". It matches the Rfam family "Bacterial small subunit ribosomal RNA", at positions 30 to 507 of the family's 1533-position model. The record is from RNAcentral.